GAUGAAGAACGUAGCGAAAUGCGAUACGUAAUGUGAAUUGCAGAAUUCAGUGAAUCAUCGAAUCUUUGAACGCAUAUUGCGCUCUCUGGUAUUCCGGAGAGCAUGCUUGUUUGAGUAUCAGUAAACACCUCAACUUCCAUAUCUUUUUUUGAAAUGGGAGGUGGACUUGAGUGAUCCCAACGCUUUUCCUCACCGAAAAGUGGCGGGUUACUUGAAAUGCAGGUGCAGCUGGACUUUUCUCUGAGCUAUAAGCAUAUCUAUUUAGUCUGCCUAAAAAACAGAUUAUUACCUUUGCUGCAGCUAACAUAAAGGAGAUUAGUUCUUGUGCUGACUGAUGCAGGAUUCACAAAGACAGCUUCGGCCGACUUUGUAAACUCGAUCUCAAAUCAAGUAAGACUACCCGCUGAACUUAAGCAUAUCAAUAAGCGGAGGA
This 433-nucleotide unclassified non-coding RNA is filed under the name soil metagenome. RNAcentral's name for it is "partial contains 5.8S ribosomal RNA, internal transcribed spacer 2, and large subunit ribosomal RNA". The stretch from base 1 to 120 matches the Rfam family "5.8S ribosomal RNA", at positions 35 to 154 of the family's 154-position model. The record is from RNAcentral.